UACAGAGGGUGCAAGCGUUAAUCGGAGUUACUGGGCGUAAAGGGCGCGUAGGUGGUUUUGAAAGUAAGAUGUGAAAUCCCUGGGCUUAACCUAGGAACAGCAUUUUAAACUGCAGGACUUGAGUACAGUAGAGGGUGGCGGAAUUUCCGGUGUAGCGGUGAAAUGCGUAGAGAUCGGAAGGAACAUCAGUGGCGAAGGCGGCCACCUGGACUGUGUCUGACACUGAGGCGCGAGAGCGUGGGGAGCAAACAGG
RNAcentral lists this ribosomal RNA (253 nucleotides) under uncultured bacterium. RNAcentral describes it as "partial 16S ribosomal RNA". It matches the Rfam family "Bacterial small subunit ribosomal RNA", at positions 524 to 776 of the family's 1533-position model. The record is from RNAcentral.